RNAcentral lists this ribosomal RNA (429 nucleotides) under Acidobacteriota bacterium. RNAcentral describes it as "Acidobacteria bacterium partial 16S ribosomal RNA". It matches the Rfam family "Bacterial small subunit ribosomal RNA", at positions 355 to 776 of the family's 1533-position model. Lineage: Bacteria; Pseudomonadati; Acidobacteriota. The record is from RNAcentral.
UUGGGAAUUUUGGACAAUGGGGGAAACCCUGAUCCAGCCAUCCCGCGUGUGCGAUGAAGGCCUUCGGGUUGUAAAGCACUUUUGGCAGGAAAGAAACGUCAUGGGUUAAUACCCCGUGAAACUGACGGUACCUGCAGAAUAAGCACCGGCUAACUACGUGCCAGCAGCCGCGGUAAUACGUAGGGUGCAAGCGUUAAUCGGAAUUACUGGGCGUAAAGCGUGCGCAGGCGGUUCGGAAAGAAAGAUGUGAAAUCCCAGAGCUCAACUUUGGAACUGCAUUUUUAACUACCGGGCUAGAGUGUGUCAGAGGGAGGUGGAAUUCCGCGUGUAGCAGUGAAAUGCGUAGAUAUGCGGAGGAACACCGAUGGCGAAGGCAGCCUCCUGGGAUAACACUGACGCUCAUGCACGAAAGCGUGGGGAGCAAACAGG